Molecule: small RNA, 559 nt
Filed under: Pan troglodytes (chimpanzee)
Lineage: Eukaryota; Metazoa; Chordata; Mammalia; Primates; Hominidae
Description: retained intron
Source: RNAcentral
GGGGCGUCCGCUACCGCCGCGCGUAGGGCAGGCGCGAGCUGGCCUCUGAGCCCCGGCCUCGGACCGCCCACUCCACGCCCCGCACGCCCGGUGCCGCCUUCCGGCUCCAGUCCCCGGGCUCGGCCUCGGCGAGGUGUAAUUUGCAGCGCGGGCCGGCCCCGGAGGCUCUCGGCGAGCGCGGCGCGGUAACAAGUGGGCGAGGAUGCCGUACGAGAUCAAGAAGGUGUUCGCCAGCCUCCCGCAGGUGGAGAGGGGCGUCUCCAAGAUCAUCGGCGGCGACCCUAAGGGCAACAAUUUUCUGUACACCAAUGGAAAGUGCGUCAUCCUAAGGAACAUCGACGUGAGUACCCCCUACCCCGGGCGCGGUUCUGCUCCGGAGCCACCUUGGGAUGGGAUAAUUCGCCUUCCUCUCCACCUCUCACCUCCUGCCCAUUGGCCCGGGGAGGGUGAGGGCGCCACGCCCCCUCUAUGGGGAGCCACACCUCGGAGCCCCGGAAGCCGGCCUCAGAUUCACCCAGGUCCUUGUCUGCUCUUUCUUGAUGAGGAAACUGAGUCUUAG